CUUCUCUUUCGCGACUCGUUUCUCUCUUCUCUCUCUUUCUGGGCGAUAUGAAAACCAAAAAAUCGAAAGGUUGGAUCCGUUGAUAUCUAAUGCUUCCACGGCGGAGAAUGGUCUGAUUUAGAAGAGUGGUGAAGGAGAAACAAGCGUCAUCAACGAAUCUCCAUCGACGGUGGGUUUCCGGCGAAUCGACAGAAGUUGGGAUUCUUAAUCGGUGAGAUUUUUGACCAAUUCCGGGAGCUUCUUUCAACAAAUCGGAUCAAACUGGGUUGUGAUUAGCUCUUGUUUCUGGACCGACGAAGCAGUUUGGUGAAGCUCCUUGGUGUGCCAAUGGUUGAUGAUGAUAAAUCAUCAAAGUCAAAGAAAUCUUCAUCUCUAACCAUAAAGACAAGGUGUCUCUCCGCUCUAAGUAAUACAUGAUGAGAUGACUUUGGUCUCUGUUCUAUUUCCUGCCAUUUGUUUCUUACGUUCAUUUACCUCGGUUUAAAGCAUUCACCGAGAUGAAAUUAAUCUAUCUGCAUUGUAACCAAACAGAACCAUAUUGAUUGUACAUCUUGUUUCAAACAGAACCUCUUCUUCUUGUUUUACACUAAGA
This is a long non-coding RNA of Capsella rubella, 592 nucleotides long. RefSeq lists it as uncharacterized. Lineage: Eukaryota; Viridiplantae; Streptophyta; Magnoliopsida; Brassicales; Brassicaceae. The record is from RefSeq and is a predicted model, not a curated record. The transcript has 2 exons.